RNAcentral lists this ribosomal RNA (379 nucleotides) under uncultured bacterium. RNAcentral describes it as "bacterial SSU rRNA". It matches the Rfam family "Bacterial small subunit ribosomal RNA", at positions 28 to 407 of the family's 1533-position model. The record is from RNAcentral.
GACGAACGCUGGCGGCGUGCUUAACACAUGCAAGUCGAGCGGUAAGGCCCUUUCGGGGGUACACGAGCGGCGAACGGGUGAGUAACACGUGGGUGACCUGCCCUCAGCUCUGGGAUAAGCCUGGGAAACCGGGUCUAAUACCGGAUAUGACUCCAUGACGCAUGUUGUGGGGUGGAAAGCCUUGUGCGGCUGAGGAUGGGCCCGCGGCCUAUCAGCUUGUUGGUGGGGUGAUGGCCUACCAAGGCGACGACGGGUAGCCGGCCUGAGAGGGCGACCGGCCACACUGGGACUGGGACACGGCCCAGACUCCUACGGGAGGCAGCAGUGGGGAAUCUUGCGCUAAUGCGGGAAACCGUGACGCAGCGACGCCGCGUGAGGG